GACGAACGCUGGCGGCGUGCUUCAUACAUGCAAGUCGAACGAGGUCCAACCGGUAGCAAUACCGGUGAAGACCUAGUGGCGAACGGGUGAGUAACACGUGAGGAACCUGCCCCGAAGACCGGGAUAACAGCGGGAAACCGCUGCUAAUACCGGAUACCCCCACCGGAUCGCAUGGUCUGGUGAGGAAAUGCCUGAUUCUUAGAUUCAGACGCUCCGGGAGGGCCUCGCGGCCUAUCAGCUCGUUGGUGGGGUAACGGCCUACCAAGGCGACGACGGG
Molecule: ribosomal RNA, 277 nt
Filed under: uncultured bacterium
Lineage: Bacteria
Description: partial 16S ribosomal RNA
Rfam family: Bacterial small subunit ribosomal RNA
Source: RNAcentral